This 387-nucleotide ribosomal RNA is filed under the name uncultured bacterium. Its description in RNAcentral is "bacterial SSU rRNA". It matches the Rfam family "Bacterial small subunit ribosomal RNA", at positions 30 to 417 of the family's 1533-position model. The record is from RNAcentral.
AUUGAACGCUGGCGGCAUGCCUUACACAUGCAAGUCGAACGGCAGCACGGGAGCAAUCCUGGUGGCGAGUGGCGAACGGGUGAGUAAUAUAUCGGAACGUGCCCAGUAGUGGGGGAUAACUGCUCGAAAGAGCAGCUAAUACCGCAUACGACCUGAGGGUGAAAGGGGGGGAUCGCAAGACCUCUCGCUAUUGGAGCGGCCGAUAUCAGAUUAGCUAGUUGGUGGGGUAAAGGCCUACCAAGGCAACGAUCUGUAGUUGGUCUGAGAGGACGACCAGCCACACUGGGACUGAGACACGGCCCAGACUCCUACGGGAGGCAGCAGUGGGGAAUUUUGGACAAUGGGCGCAAGCCUGAUCCAGCAAUGCCGCGUGCAGGAAGAAGGCCU